Molecule: long non-coding RNA, 1695 nt
Organism: Homo sapiens (human)
Lineage: Eukaryota; Metazoa; Chordata; Mammalia; Primates; Hominidae
Product: long intergenic non-protein coding RNA 1865
Source: Ensembl
AACCGUUUUCUCUUGUACAGUCAGAGCUGUCAGCCCACACAAAAGAGGAAAGUCUGAGGCUUUAGUUUGAUGAACACAUUUAUAUGAUGGGACGAACAUCAGAGCCCGCAGCUCUCGGCCCUGCUGGUGGCAGAGGCUUUGUACUGUGUGACAAUGACCUGGAUAUGGAAGCAGAAGGGAGCUUCUAAGGACCGGAAGCUGAGAGUCUGUCUCCUGUCCCGGCCCGGACACUGGGGUUCAGCCAAAGCUGCAGCGUUGUGCAAUGGAUUCCAUCAGAGUUUGGCACUUUUUUCUUCAAAGUUACGGUGCAGGUGACUGAGGACAGCUGUUGCGAGCGCUGCUUCUUGGUUCCCCCGGAAUGGGAGGCAUCACGUGCGGCUUCCAGGAGGCCACCUCAGGGAGGAUCGUGUUUCCAUGCACAGCGAAGGAUCUGGGCAGGCUGUGGAAAAAUCAGUUGACACGAGUUAGAUGUGCGACAUGGACUGCUACUGUGCACGCAGAGACGGAGGAGCUCAGAGGAACAGUGCGUUUAUUCUGCAUAAGCAGAGGUCACAGCAGCCGCCUAUGUGGCCUCUUUUAUAACAGCCCUGAAGAGGCCAGGCAUGCUGGCUCGGGCCUGUAAUCCCAGCACUUUGGGAGGCCGAGGUGGGCAGAUCAUCUGAGGUGAGGAGUUCGAGACAAGCCUGGCCAACAUGGUGAAACCCCAUCCCUACUAAAAAUACAAAAAUUAGCUGGGCGUGGUGGCAGACACCUGUAGUUCCAGCUACUCAGGAGGCUGAGGCAGGAGAAUCACUUGAACCUGGGAGGCAGAGGUUGCAGUGAGCCAAGAUCACGCCACUGCACUCCAGCCUGGGGGACAGAGUGAGACUCUGUCUCAAACAAACAAACAAACAACAACAAAAAAAACCAGCCCUGAAGAAAGAAGACUUGGGGUUUACAGAGCAGAGGACUUUCAACGCAAGGAUGCCCUGUGUCAGUGUGCAGAGGCUCAGAAGCACUGCUCUUUUGAAGAAAAGUGUGCUGGACCUUCUCUUGCGUGGUUAGUUGUAAAACUUGAUGCUUCUGCAGGCAGAUGAUGGCAGAAAGCUCCCACCCCACCACGCUGAUGACGGCAGAAAGCUCCCGCCCCACCACGCUGAUGACGGCAGAAAGCUCCCGCCCCACCACGCUGAUGAUGGCACUCUCGUUGGGUGGUUGUGUGGUCUUCAUACAAUUUCAGGACCAAGCACUACAGAUUGAAGCUGGGUGCCUGAUGGACACCUGCUCGUGUGCUUCUCUGUAAGUAUUUGCAUUGUCGCAGCUGCAAGCACCCAUUUCGCUGAGAAUCACUGUUGCCUCCAUGGGGUCCUGUCCUAUGGACGACCCCUGUCUAGUUGGGAACUUGGUGCCAGGAGCUCAACUUGCUCCAAUGCUUCCCAUCCUACUAAGUUCUACGCUGACUACAGUGGUAGGUAACGUCUGUUUUCCUGCAGUGCUUAAAUAUUGUUUCUACCUCCACCUUCGGCAGCUAUGUGGCAGACAUUUAAUCAUUGUUAGGCAAAAAAGACCUAAACGUACUCUGUUAGCUACUGCACCCUGCCUGGAUUCCCCAGGCCACAUGUCUUAGUUAGCCCCACACAGCUUCAGAUAUUGUUAUUGCUUCUAUCCAUUCUGCUAAACUGAGCCAUGGUUAAUAAAAGAUGAGAAUUGGCAAUU